GAGUUUGAUCGUGGCUCAGGACGAACGCUGGCGGCGUGCCUAACACAUGCAAGUCGAGCGGGGACAGGGAGGAGCUUGCUCUGAACUGUUCUAGCGGCGGACGGGUGAGUAACGCGUGAGCAACCUGCCUCAAACAGGGGGAUAACGCAUCGAAAGAUGUGCUAAUACCGCGUAAGACCACAGCUUCACAUGGAGCAGGGGUCAAAGGAGGAAUCCGGUUUGAGAUGGGCUCGCGUCCGAUUAGCUAGUUGGUGAGAUAACAGCCCACCAAGGCGACGAUCGGUAGCCGACCUGAGAGGGUGAACGGCCACAUUGGGACUGAGAUACGGCCCAGACUCCUACGGGAGGCAGCAGUGGGGAAUA
RNAcentral lists this ribosomal RNA (363 nucleotides) under uncultured bacterium. RNAcentral's name for it is "bacterial SSU rRNA". It matches the Rfam family "Bacterial small subunit ribosomal RNA", at positions 9 to 363 of the family's 1533-position model. The record is from RNAcentral.